This 500-nucleotide ribosomal RNA is filed under the name uncultured bacterium. Its description in RNAcentral is "partial 16S ribosomal RNA". It matches the Rfam family "Bacterial small subunit ribosomal RNA", at positions 28 to 507 of the family's 1533-position model. The record is from RNAcentral.
GACGAACGCUGGCGGCGUGCUUAACACAUGCAAGUCGAACGGGUCUGCCCUGUUUUUUGCGGGGUGGGUCAGUGGCGAACGGGUGAGUAACACGUGAGUAACCUGCCCCUCACUUCUGGAUAACCGCUUGAAAGGGUGGCUAAUACGGGGUGUUCUGGCUGUGCCGCAUGGUGUGGCUGGGAAAGAUUCACUUUUGUGGUGUUUUGGUGGGGGAUGGGCUCGCGGCCUAUCAGCUUGUUGGUGGGGUGAUGGCCUGCCAAGGCUUUGACGGGUAGCCGGCCUGAGAGGGUGAGCGGUCACAGUGGUACUGAGAUGCGGCCCAGACUCCUGCGGGAGGCAGCAGUGGGGGGUAUUGCACAAUGGGCGGAAGCCUGAUGCAGCGACGUCGCGUGAGGGAUGGAGGCCUUCGGGUUGUGAACCUCUUUCGCCGGUGAAGAAGGUCCUGCUCUUUGUGGUGGGGUUGACGGUAGCCGGGUUAUGAAGCGCCGGCUAACUACGUG